GGACGGGUGAUUAUCACGUGGGUAACCUGCCCUUAAGUGGGGGAUAACAUUUGGAAACAGAUGCUAAUACCGCAUAAAUCCAAGAACCGCAUGGUUCUUGGCUGAAAGAUGGCGUAAGCUAUCGCUUUUGGAUGGACCCGCGGCGUAUUAGCUAGUUGGUGAGGUAACGGCUCACCAAGGCAAUGAUACGUAGCCGAACUGAGAGGUUGAUCGGCCACAUUGGGACUGAGACACGGCCCAAACUCCUACGGGAGGCAGCAGUAGGGAAUCUUCCACAAUGGACGCAAGUCUGAUGGAGCAACGCCGCGUGAGUGAAGAAGGCUUUCGGGUCGUAAAACUCUGUUGUUGGAGAAGAAUGGUCGGCAGAGUAACUGUUGUCGGCGUGACGGUAUCCAACCAGAAAGCCACGGCU
Molecule: ribosomal RNA, 412 nt
Filed under: Lacticaseibacillus rhamnosus
Lineage: Bacteria; Bacillati; Bacillota; Bacilli; Lactobacillales; Lactobacillaceae
Description: bacterial SSU rRNA
Rfam family: Bacterial small subunit ribosomal RNA
Source: RNAcentral